Molecule: ribosomal RNA, 497 nt
Filed under: uncultured bacterium
Lineage: Bacteria
Description: partial 16S ribosomal RNA
Rfam family: Bacterial small subunit ribosomal RNA
Source: RNAcentral
GAUGAACGCUGGCGGCGUGCCUAAUACAUGCAAGUCGAGCGAACAGACGAGGAGCUUGCUCCUCUGACGUUAGCGGCGGACGGGUGAGUAACACGUGGAUAACCUACCUAUAAGACUGGGAUAACUUCGGGAAACCGGAGCUAAUACCGGAUAAUAUAUUGAACCGCAUGGUUCAAUAGUGAAAGACGGUUUUGCUGUCACUUAUAGAUGGAUCCGCGCCGCAUUAGCUAGUUGGUAAGGUAACGGCUUACCAAGGCAACGAUGCGUAGCCGACCUGAGAGGGUGAUCCGCCACACUGGAACUGAGACACGGUCCCGACUCCUAAGGGCGGCAGCAGUAGGGAAUCUUCCGCAAUGGGCGAAAGCCUGAAGGAGGCACGCCGCGUGAGUGAUGAAGGUCUUCGGAUCGUAAAACUCUGUUAUUAGGGAAGAAAAAAUGUGUAAGUAACUGUGCACCUCUUGACGGUACCUAAUCAGAAAGCCACGGCUAACUACGUG